ACGGGUGAGUAACGCGUGGGAACGUACCUUUUGGUUCGGAACAACACAGGGAAACUUGUGCUAAUACCGGAUAAGCCCUUACGGGGAAAGAUUUAUCGCCGAAAGAUCGGCCCGCGUCUGAUUAGCUAGUUGGUAGGGUAAUGGCCUACCAAGGCGACGAUCAGUAGCUGGUCUGAGAGGAUGAUCAGCCACAUUGGGACUGAGACACGGCCCAAACUCCUACGGGAGGCAGCAGUGGGGAAUAUUGGACAAUGGGGGCAACCCUGAUCCAGCCAUGCCGCGUGAGUGAUGAAGGCCCUAGGGUUGUAAAGCUCUUUUGUGCGGGAAGAUAAUGACGGUACCGCAAGAAUAAGCCCCGGCUAACUUCGUGCCAGCAGCCGCGGUAAUACGAAGGGGGCUAGCGUUGCUCGGAAUCACUGGGCGUAAAGGGUGCGUAGGCGGGUUUUUAAGUCAGGGGUGAAAUCCUGGAGCUCAACUCCAGAACUGCCUUUGAUACUGAAGAUCUUGGGUCCGGGAGAGGUGAGUGGAACUGCGAGUGUAGAGGUGAAAUUCGUAGA
Molecule: ribosomal RNA, 557 nt
Filed under: uncultured bacterium
Lineage: Bacteria
Description: bacterial SSU rRNA
Rfam family: Bacterial small subunit ribosomal RNA
Source: RNAcentral